UGCUAUGGCGGCUGUGUGUGGGACACCUUCGGGUGUGCCGGUUCCUUAGUUUCCGGUCCGCGAACCCGCGCACAGCUGCCACCCUU
This 86-nucleotide non-coding RNA is filed under the name Pseudomonas chlororaphis. The record is from RNAcentral. RNAcentral also lists the same sequence under 1 other name. Lineage: Bacteria; Pseudomonadati; Pseudomonadota; Gammaproteobacteria; Pseudomonadales; Pseudomonadaceae.